RNAcentral lists this ribosomal RNA (463 nucleotides) under uncultured bacterium. RNAcentral's name for it is "partial 16S ribosomal RNA". It matches the Rfam family "Bacterial small subunit ribosomal RNA", at positions 28 to 507 of the family's 1533-position model. The record is from RNAcentral.
GACGAACGCUGGCGGCGUGCUUAACACAUGCAAGUCGAACGGAAAGGCCUUUUCGUAGGUACUCGAGUGGCGGACGGGGGAGGAACACGUGGGUGAGCUUCCCUUCACUCUGGGAUAAGGCUGAGAAACUGGGUCUAAUACCGGAUAGGACCGCUCUUUAGUGUGUGUUGGUGAAAGUGUUUUCGGUGUAGUGUGAGCCCGCUGCCUAUCAGCUUGUCGUGGGUGUAAUGGCCGACCAAGUCGGCGACGGGUAGCCGGACUGUGAGGUUGGUCGACGGCACUGAGACUGAGAUAAGGCCGCGACUGCUACGCGAGGCAGAAGUGGGGAAUAUUGACGAAUGGGCGCAAGGCUGAUGAAGAGAGGCCGCGUGGCGGAUGACGGUCUUAGGGUUGUAAACCACUUUCGCAAGGGGCGAAGCGUUUUGUGACGGUACCUGGAGAAGAAGCCACGGCUAACUACGUG